This 1222-nucleotide ribosomal RNA is filed under the name Phlogotettix monozoneus. Its description in RNAcentral is "16S ribosomal RNA". The stretch from base 548 to 1222 matches the Rfam family "Eukaryotic large subunit ribosomal RNA", at positions 1891 to 3076 of the family's 3401-position model. The record is from RNAcentral. Lineage: Eukaryota; Metazoa; Arthropoda; Insecta; Hemiptera; Cicadellidae.
UUUUAUUAUUAACCAAUUAUUUCUGCUAUAAUUAUAUUUUAUAAUUUUAUUUGUUUUUAGUAAGUAUUAAAAAUAAUUUAGUGAUCAUUUUAUACUGUGAAGGUCCCUCUAUUUUAAAAAUUUAAAAAGUAUUUAAAAAGAGUACCUUUUGUAUCAGGGUAAAUUAAAUGAGUUAAUUAUGUUUUUAUUUUCCCGAAUUAAGGAGUUCUAUUGAAUUAUUUAAUAAAUUGUAUUAAAAAUUUCUAUUAUAGUUCUAUAGUAGUUAUAUGCUAGUCGUUCUUUAUUUAUCUGGUUAUUAAGGAUUUAAUAUAAUUAUAUAUCUACCAUUUUUAUUUCUCUUUAAAUUGGGUAGAUAUUCUACUAUUGGGGAUAAUCUCUAUAGUUUAAUUAUAAUAUGAAGGCGGAUUACAUUUAUUUUCUUUUAAAUUUUGAUUUCAGUUUUUAUUAAAUUUGUGUUUUUAUAUAAAAUUUUAUUUUAUUUAUUUUUUUACUUAAUUUUUAUAUUUAACAUAAUUUUAUUAUUAAUAAUGAUUUAAUUAGUAUAAUUUAAACUUUAAUAAAAAUGAACUCGACAAAUUUUUUGCUUCCAACUGUUUAUCAAAAACAUUUCCUUAUGUGUUUUUUUAAGGUACCUCCUGCCCUAUGAUAUUUUUAUUAAAUGGCUGCAGUAUUUUGACUGUGCAAAGGUAGCAUAAUAAUUAGUUUCUUAAUUAGGAGCUGGCAUGAAUGGAAAAAUGAGAUGUAUAUUUUAUUAUAUUUAUUUUUAAAAUUUAAAUUUUAGGUUAAAAUGCUUAACUUUUUUCCUGGGACGAUAAGACCCUAUAGAACUUUAUUCAUUUAAAUUUAAUUAAUUUUUAUAUUUCUAAUUUGGUUAAAUUUUUAUUGUUUUUUGCUGGGGUGGUGAUUAAAUUUAAACUUUAAUUUUAAAAAUCAUAAAUUUAUGUUUAUUUGAUCCCUUUUAGGGAAAAAAGACUAAGUUACCUUAGGGAUAACAGCGUAAUUUUAGUGGGGAGUUCACAUCUAUAUUAAAUUUUGCGACCUCGAUGUUGAAUUAAGAUAAAAUUGGGAAGCAGAAUUCUCAUAUUUAAGUCUGUUCGACUUUUAAAUUCUUACAUGAUUUGAGUUCAAACCGGCGUGAGCCAGGUUGGUUUCUAUCUAGGAAUAAUUUAAUUUAGUUAGUACGAAAGGACCACUAAAUUGUACAUUUAGUAUAAAAUUUAGA